Molecule: ribosomal RNA, 381 nt
Filed under: uncultured Bacteroidales bacterium
Lineage: Bacteria; Pseudomonadati; Bacteroidota; Bacteroidia; Bacteroidales
Description: bacterial SSU rRNA
Rfam family: Bacterial small subunit ribosomal RNA
Source: RNAcentral
CGCUAGCUACAGGCUUAACACAUGCAAGUCGAGGGGUAGCAGGGUAGCAAUACCGCUGACGACCGGCGCACGGGUGAGUAACACGUAUCCAACCUUCCCAUCACUCGGGGAUAGCCUUUCGAAAGAAAGAUUAAUACCCGAUAGUACUUUUUUGAGGCAUCUUGAGAAAGUUAAAGAUUUAUUGGUGAUGGAUGGGGAUGCGUUCCAUUAGAUAGUUGGUGAGGUAACGGCUCACCAAGUCUUCGAUGGAUAGGGGUUCUGAGAGGAAGGUCCCCCACAUUGGUACUGAGACACGGACCAAACUCCUACGGGAGGCAGCAGUGAGGAAUAUUGGUCAAUGGGCGAGAGCCUGAACCAGCCAAGUAGCGUGAAGGAUGACGG